GACGAACGCUGGCGGCGCGCCUCAUACAUGCAAGUCGAACGAGAAGCUCGGAGCUUGCUCCGGGUGGACAGUGGCGAACGGGUGAGUAACACGUGAGAAACCUGCCCCGAAGACCGGGACAACACCGGGAAACCGGUGCUAAUACCGGAUGUCCUUACCGGACCGCAUGAUCUGGUAAGGAAAUGGAUUCCGCUUCGGGAUGGUCUCGCGGCCUAUCAGCUUGUUGGCGGGGUAACGGCCCACCAAGGCAA
RNAcentral lists this ribosomal RNA (251 nucleotides) under uncultured Actinomycetes bacterium. Its description in RNAcentral is "uncultured actinobacterium partial 16S ribosomal RNA". It matches the Rfam family "Bacterial small subunit ribosomal RNA", at positions 28 to 276 of the family's 1533-position model. The record is from RNAcentral. Lineage: Bacteria; Bacillati; Actinomycetota; Actinomycetes.